GACGAACGCUGGCGGCGUGCCUAAUACAUGCAAGUCGAACGAGAGCGACCGGUGCUUGCACUGGUCAAUCUAGUGGCGAACGGGUGAGUAACACGUGGGUAACCUGCCCAUCAGAGGGGGAUAACAUCCGGAAACGGAUGCUAAAACCGCAUAGGUCUUCGAACCGCAUGGUUUGAAGAGGAAAAGAGGCGCAAGCUUCUGCUGAUGGAUGGACCCGCGGUGCAUUAGCUAGUUGGUGAGGUAACGGCUCACCAAGGCCGUGAUGCAUAGCCGACCUGAGAGGGUGAUCGGCCACAUUGGGACUGAGACACGGCCCAAACUCCUACGGAGGCAGCAGUAGGGAAUCUUCCGCAAUGGACGCAAGUCUGACGGAGCAACGCCGCGUGAGUGAAGAAGGUUUUCGGAUCGUAAAACUCUGUUGUUAGAGAAGAACAAGUGCUAGAGUAACUGUUAGCGCCUUGACGGUAUCUAACCAGAAAGCCACGGCUAACUACGUG
Molecule: ribosomal RNA, 497 nt
Filed under: uncultured bacterium
Lineage: Bacteria
Description: partial 16S ribosomal RNA
Rfam family: Bacterial small subunit ribosomal RNA
Source: RNAcentral